Molecule: ribosomal RNA, 254 nt
Filed under: uncultured bacterium
Lineage: Bacteria
Description: partial 16S ribosomal RNA
Rfam family: Bacterial small subunit ribosomal RNA
Source: RNAcentral
UACGUAGGGUGCAAGCGUUGUCCGGAAUUAUUGGGCGUAAAGAGCUCGUAGGCGGCUUGUCGCGUCGGCUGUGAAAACCUGGGGCUCAACCCCGGGCCUGCAGCCGAUACGGGCAAGCUAGAAUUCGGUAGGGGAGACUGGAAUUCCAGGUGUAGUGGUGAAAUAACGUAGAUAUCUGGAGGAACACCGGUGGCGAAGGCGGCGACCUGGUCCUAUACUGACACUCAUACACGAAAGCGUGGGGAUCAAACAGG